This 180-nucleotide ribosomal RNA is filed under the name uncultured Glomeromycotina. RNAcentral describes it as "partial small subunit ribosomal RNA". The record is from RNAcentral. Lineage: Eukaryota; Fungi; Glomeromycota.
GGGUUCUACCGUUGGUCAGGCUAUAGUCUGUACUGGCGUGUGGAAUUUCUACCUUCUGGGGAACUAUCAUGUUAUUAAUUUAGCGUGGUAGGAAACCAGAACCUUUACCUUGAAAAAAUUAGGGUGUUCAAAGCAGGCAAAAAAGAGCCUUGAAUACUACAGCAUGGGAUAACGGAAAAC